Molecule: ribosomal RNA, 658 nt
Filed under: uncultured prokaryote
Description: bacterial SSU rRNA
Rfam family: Bacterial small subunit ribosomal RNA
Source: RNAcentral
GAUGAACGCUGACAGAAUGCUUAACACAUGCAAGUCGAUUCAAGUUACCUUCGGGUAAUGAGGAUGGCGGACGGGUGAGUAACGCGUAAGGAACUUGCCUCUUGGUCUGGGACAACUGUUGGAAACGACAGCUAAUACCGGAUAUUAUGAGAUUCUCGCAUGGGAAACUUAUGAAAGCUAUAUGCGCCAAGAGAGAGCCUUGCGUUCCAUUAGCUAGUUGGUGGGGUAACGGCCCACCAAGGCGACGAUGGAUAGCCGGCCUGAGAGGGUGAACGGCCACAAGGGGACUGAGACACGGCCCUUACUCCUACGGGAGGCAGCAGUGGGGAAUAUUGGACAAUGNNNNNNNNAGUCUGAUCCAGCAAUUCUGUGUGCACGAUGAAGGUCUUCGGAUUGUAAAGUGCUUUCAGUUGGGAAGAAGCAAGUGACGGUACCAACAGAAGAAGCGACGGCUAAAUACGUGCCAGCAGCCGCGGUAAUACGUAUGUCGCAAGCGUUAUCCGGAUUUAUUGGGCGUAAAGCGCGUCUAGGCGGAAAAAUAAGUCUGAUGUUAAAAUGCGGGGCUCAACUCCGUAUUGCGUUGGAAACUGUUUUUCUAGAGUACUGGAGAGGUGGGCGGAACUACNAGUGUAGAGGUGAAAUUCGUAGAUAUUUGUAG